CACAUAAACCCUAACUCUCUCCCACUCCGCAAAAACCCAUUUCCCUUCCCUCGAAUCUUCGUCGUCACCAAGAUGGGAAGCAACCAAGCUGCCGUGUCUUUCCUCACCAACGUCGCGCGCGCCGCCUUCGGCCUCGGUGUUGGCGCCACCGUCGUCAACUCCGCGCUCUACACCGUCGACGGCGGCCAGCGAGCCGUCCUCUUCGACCGUUUCCGCGGAGUCAUCGACGACACUGUCGGCGAGGGGACCCACUUCCUGGUCCCAUGGCUCCAGAAGCCCUACAUCUUCGACAUCCGCACCCGGCCCCACACCUUCUCCUCCAUCUCCGGCACCAAGGAUCUCCAGAUGGUGAAUCUCACCCUCCGGGUCCUUUCGCGCCCCGAGGUCGCUCGCCUCCCUCAGAUCUUCAAAACCCUAGGGCUCGAGUACGAUGAGAAGGUCCUCCCCUCCAUCGGCAAUGAGGUCCUCAAGGCAGUGGUGGCGCAAUUCAACGCCGAUCAGCUCCUCACCGAGCGUCCCCACGUGUCGGCGCUGGUGCGCGAGAGCCUGAUUCGCCGCGCCAAGGAUUUCAACAUCGUUCUGGAUGACGUGGCGAUCACGCACUUGUCGUACGGGCUGGAGUUCUCGCGCGCCGUGGAGGCGAAGCAGGUGGCUCAGCAGGAGGCGGAGCGGUCCAAGUUUGUGGUGGCCAAGACUGAGCAGGAGAGGCGGGCUGCGAUUAUCCGGGCACAGGGUGAGAGCGAGGCUGCGAAGCUCAUCUCUGAUGCGACUGCUUCGGCGGGUAUGGGACUGAUCGAGCUCAGGAGGAUCGAGGCUUCCAGGGAGGUUGCUAACACGCUUGCCAGGUCGCCCAAUGUGUCUUACCUGCCUGGUGGGAAGAACAUGCUCUUUGGUCUCAACCCUCGCUGAUGAUCUCUAUGAUGUCGAUUGAGGAAAUUGGAAAGUGAAGAGAUAAUUUCAAUGUAUAACGGUUCCAGGACAUGGCAUAACAAGAAGACCAGUCCACGAAUACACCGAAGUCUUGAGUGGUUUAUUUCUAGAGUAAUUUUUUGGUUUUUACGGGAAGGCGGGUGUCUUGAACUUAUUUAGAAUGAGAGAUAAGGUUUAGGAAAGUGCCAUGGAUGUUGCGUUGAUAAUGCAUUUCUGACUAAGUUCACCUGGAUGUUAGUACUUGAAUAUAAUUUGGUGCACUUUUGUUCAUAUGUUGCAGUGCAGGAGGAUGUGUUAACCAAAAUUUUGCACCUAUUUCAAUUGCUUUUUCUCG
This is an RNA transcript of Malus domestica (apple), 1264 nucleotides long. It is a transcript of the gene named prohibitin-3, mitochondrial, with no coding region annotated. The record is from RefSeq and is a predicted model, not a curated record. NCBI's taxonomy places the organism in Eukaryota, Viridiplantae, Streptophyta, Magnoliopsida, Rosales, Rosaceae.